Long non-coding RNA from Crotalus tigris (Tiger rattlesnake), 981 nucleotides. RefSeq lists it as uncharacterized. NCBI's taxonomy places the organism in Eukaryota, Metazoa, Chordata, Lepidosauria, Squamata, Viperidae. The record is from RefSeq and is a predicted model, not a curated record. The transcript has 3 exons.
CCCAACUUUAAGAAAGCUAGCCAACUGCCGGAAGAGGAUAGCACACUUUAUUUUAUUUUAUUAGAAGAAUUGAAAGGCGGUGUUAAAAAGAAACGUCUAAAAAUCUUCUUCGAACACCUUUAAAACAAACAAACAUAUCCAUGAGAACGCCAGCAAAGAGUGACCCCCCCACACACACUCGGGAAAAAAGCCAGGGUCGUCUGGUGGAAAGCGCCAGCGCCUUUCGCGCGCGGGGAAACGCGGGGAAGAAGGAAAAGUACGUCUAGCUUUUUGGAGGCCCCGUCCUCGAGGGAGAAGGACGGAGGCGAUCUGGCCCUUUCGCUCGGCUUCCAGUUACUACAGAGCAGAGGGAAACGGGGAGGGGAGGGGAAGGGACAGACUGUCCCUGAGAGGGGGCCACGCCCCUUCCUUCCUGCCUUGGACUCUAGGACUGAGUAUCAUCCUUGGGGCUGAUAAGCUACGGACCCUCCUUCCAAAGAAUAUUUUCCCCACUAUUACCCCCUUUUCAUGGUUUGCUGCCCUAGACGACAGUCGGCGCCUGGAUUUCACCGGCCUUUAGGAGCCCUUUGCGGGGGAUCCAGCUUCAACAGUGGAGAUAAGGAAGCAAUUCACGAUAUAAAUGUGAAUGAAUCCAAUGCAUAUUUCCCAAAUCCAAGCCUCUGAGUUUUCUUGCCAGUUGCAGCUCAUGAGUUGUUUUUGAAAGAGGAUAUUCAGAAAUGGCAUGCUAUCAGCUCAUUAAUAAAAGACUUAUUGUCCCCAAUUGCUUCUUUCAAACAAGUAGGAAGGUGCACAGAAAUGUACAGUGUACAGCCACACAAACUGGAGGAGUCUUCAAUAACCUUGGAUAAAGAAUUUGGAAUCCAAACAGCAUCGAGUUGCACAAUCAUGCAAAAUGCACUGGACCUUUGAAGCACUUUGGAAACAGUGGACCAUUACAAUCUCAUGAAUCAUUAUAUCACACAGAUAAACCAUUUUAAUAUU